GUCGCUGGUGCUCUCGGUUUCGUGGUCGCCGCCGGCCGCCUCUCCCUCGCGGUGUGGCGGCGACACCGCUUCCCUGGGGCCGGGGCAGCUUCCCCGGUGCCUCAGCUCCAACAUCUUCCGCUCCCGCGCUGCCGUGGCGGCCUCCUCAAGCACCCCGAAACCUGAGCUGCAAGCAGGGUUCUGCAGGCGGGGCGCCCCGCCACCUCGCAGCCGCGCCCUGGAGUCCCGCGGAGCCGCAGCCACUAACGCGGCCCCACCAUAGAGCGGCCGCCGCGCCGGUCACCUCCAAAACGGCAUCAACGAGAGAGCGCUCGAGGCCGCCUGCAGCGAGCGCGGCUCCGGCGGAGGUCCCGGGCAGGCUCCGGGCGCCAGGCGCGAGCAGAGAAGGCGGAGACGCGGCCUCCGGUUGCCAGCCUCUACAGGUAUUAUCAAAGAGAAGAUGAGAACCUUGAACUGAGAGGACCUCACAAGCCUGUAGUGAAGGAAGACCCUGUUGCCAAGAUGAGGUGCAGACGGUGGAGUUAAUCAUUCUCCUCAGUUCCUACUUGGUGAAUGUUUCAUGCAUCCGUGUGAAGAGAGUCCACCAAACAGGCUUUGUGUCUUUACCUCUCAACUGAACCCUGAACUCCUGGAGAAUAGAUGCUGUCGGGAAAUCACCAGCUUCUCACAAAGCAAUGAUCGUUGAAUAAAUCCUUGUUAAAUAAUGACAGUUUUCCUUUUUGGAUUGCUGUGAUCUCUACUCCCAUCACGACUGCUAAGCCUUGGGCAGGAGACCUUGUAUUCCCAGCCAGCUAUUCUUCCCACCGCCAUCCGUAGUUGGUCUCACUAUGUUGUGCAGGCUGGCCUCAAACUCCUGGGCUCAAGGGAUCUUCUCAUCUCAUCCUUCCAAAGGGCUGCGAUUACAAGUGUGAGCCACUGCGCUGAGCUUGUUUUUUAUUCUUCUUGUCACUUUUUUUCCCUCAACCAACUGAAAGAAGGUUACAGAUAUUAUAACAUUUUAUCCCUAACUACUUCAGUGUCUGUCUCCUGAGAACAAGGACAAUUUCUUAUAUAACCAUGUUGCAAUUAUCAAAUUCAGAAAAUCGAAUAUGGAUACAAUACUAUCUAAUACAGUCCAAAUUGAAAUUUUGGCAAUUGUUCUAGAAAUGUCUUUUGCAAAAGCAAUGUGUUUCUUUGUAAUCCAAAAUCCAAGCUACAAUUACAUACUCAAUUUACUUUUUGUGCUUCUUUAGUUUUCUUUACAAGGGUUUCUCAGCUUUUCUUUGCUUUUCAUGACUGUGACUUUUUGAAGCAUGCAGCCUGUUGUUUUGUAGAAGACAUUUUAUUUUUUAACUUUUAUUUUAGGUUUUGGGGUACAUGUGAAGCUUUAGGUAAACUCAUGUCGUGUGGGUUUGUUGUACAGAUUAUUUUAUCACCCGGGUAUUAAGCCUAGUACCCAACAGUUAUUUUGUCUUCUCCUCUCUCUCCUCCCACCCUCCACCUUCCACUCUCAGGUAGAUCCCAGUGUUUGUUGUUCCCUUCUUUAUGUUCAUGAGUGCUCAUCAUUUAGCUCCCACUAAUAAGUGAGAACAUGCGGUAUUUGGUUUUCUGUUCCUGCAUUAGUUUGCUAAGGAUAAUGGACUCUAGCUCCAUUCAUCUUCCUGCAAAAGACAUGAUCUUAUCUUUUUUUAAUGGCUGCAUAGUAUUCCACAGUGUAUAUGGACCACAUUUUCUUUAUCCAGUCUGCCAUUGAUGGGCAUUUAGGUUGAUUUCAUGUCUUUGUUAUUGUGAAUAGUGCUGCAAUGAACAUACAUGUGCAUGUAUCUUUAUGGUAGAAUGAUUUAUAGUCCUCUGGAUAUAUGCCCAGUAAUGGGAUUGCUGGGUUGAAUGGUAGUUCUGCUUUUAGCUCUUUGAGGAAUCACCAUACUGCUUUUCACAAUGAUUGAACUAAUUUACACUCCCACCAACAGUGAAUAAGUGUUUCCUUUUAUCCACAAGCAACCUCACCAGCACCUGUUACUUUUUGACUUUUUUUUUUUUUUUUUUUGAGACGGAGUCUUACUCUGUCGCCCAGCCAGGAGUGCAGUGGCACGAUCUCGGCUCACUGCAACCCCCGCCUCCCAGGUUCAAGCGAUUCUCCUGCCUCAGUCUCCCAAGUAGCUGGGAUUACAGGCACCACCACCACCUUUGGCUAUUUUUUUUUUUUUUUUAGUAGAGACAGGGUUUCACCAUCUUGGCCAGUCUAGUCUUGAACUCCUAACCUGGUGAUCCACCUGCCUUGGCCUCCCAAAGUGAUGGGAUUACAGGCAUGAGCCACUGCGCCUGGCCUUGACUUUUAAUUAAUAGCCAUUCUGACUAAUGAUAUGGUAUCUCAGUGUGGUUUUGAUUUGCAUUUCUCUAAUGAUCAGUGAUACUGGUCUGUUUUUCAUAUGUUUGUGGGCUGAAUGUAUGUCUUCUUUCGAAAAGUGUCUGUUCACGUCCCUUGCCCCCUUUUAAAUGGGAUUUCUUGUUUCUCUUUUUGUAAAUUUGUUUAAGUUCCCUGUAGAUGUUGGGUAUCAGACCUUUGUCAGAUGCAUAUUUUGCAAAAAUUUUCUUCCAUUCUAUAGGUUGUCUGUUUACUCUGUUGACAGUUUCUUUUGCUGUGCAGAAGCUCUUUAGUUUAAUUAGAUCUCAUUUGCCAAUUUUUGCUUUUGUUGUCGUUGCUUUUGGCAUCUUUGUCGUGAAAUCUUUGCCCGUUCCUGUGUCCAGAGUGGUAUUCCCUUCCAGGAUCUUCCAGGGUUUUUAUAGUUUUAGGUUUUACAUUUAAGUCUUUAAUCCAUCUUGAGUUGAUUUUUACAUAUGGCAUAAAGAAGGGGCCCAACUUCAAUACUCUGCGUAAGGCUAGCCAGUUAUCCCAGCACCAUUUAUUUAAAAGGGAGUCUUUUCCUCAUUGCUUGUUUUUGUCAGCUUUUUUGAAAAUCAGAUGGUCAUAGGUGGACCUUAUUUCUGGACACUAUUUUGUUUCAUGGGACUAUGUGUCUAUUUCUGUACCAGUACCAUGCUGUUUUGGUUACUGUAGCCCUGUGAUAUAGUUUGAAAUCAGGUAACAUGAUGCCUCCAGCUUUGCUCUCUUUGCUUAGGAUUGCGCUGGCUACUCAGGUUCUUUUUUGAAUCCAUAUGAACUUUAAAAUAGUUUUUUCUAGUUCUGUGAAAAAUGUCAUUUGUAGUUGAAUAGGAAUAGCAUUGAAUCUAUAAAUUACUUUGAGCAGUUUGGCCAUUUUAAUAAUAUUGAUUCUUCCUAUCCAUGAGCAUGGGAUUUUUUCCAUUUGUUUGUGUCUUCUCUGAUUUCUUUGAGCAGUGUUUUGAGAUUCUCGUUGUAGCAAUCUUUCACUUGCCUGGUUAGCUGUAUUCCUAGGUAUUUUAUUCUUUUUGUGGCAAUUGUGAAUGGGAUUGCCUUUCUGAUUUGGCUCUCAGCUUGGCUGUUGUUGGUAUAUAGGAAUGCUAGUGAUUUUUGUAUUUUGAUUUUGUAUCCUGAAACUUUGCUGAAGUUGUUUAUCAGCUUAAGGAGCUAUUUGGCCAAGACUAUGGGGUUUUCUAGAUAUAGAAUCAUGUCAUCUGCAAACAGGGAUAGUUUGACUUCCUCUCUUUCUAUUUGGGUGCCUUUUAUUUCAUUCUCUUGCCUGAUGCUCCAGCUAGGACUUCCAAUGCUAUGUUGAAUAGAGGUGGUGAGAGAGGACAUCUUUGUUUUGUGCUGGUUUUCAAGAGGAAUGCUUCCAGCUCUUGCCCAUUCAGUAUGAUGUUGAAAAGACAUUUUAUAGGUUUUUAAAUUGGGAAGAGCAUCAGUACAGGGUCAAAAAGCUGGGAUUCUAAUUGGUGAACCACCACAAAUUAGCUGGCGGUCAUUUGCCUUCUCCAAAUCAGUUUUCUUAUCUUUAAAAUAGAAAUGUUGUCUGUCCUGACUGUCUCAGAGUUCUUUGGAAGAUAAAAUGAUAAAACAGGUAAGAAAUUACUUUAAAACUGCAAAGCAAUUUAGAAAAUGAAAGGCUUUACUUUAAGUUGUGAGUCGAUGCUAUAGAUUUUAAAAUGUUAUCAGUUGUAAGUGUUGUUCAUUCCGAUAGAAUACCAUUCUGUUUUCCCUUCUUUCUCUUCCUCCUUCCUCUUCUUUCUGUCUUUCUCUACACACACAAACCCUUACCUCUAGUAUUCCUAGAACGCAACGUAACAACAUAUUGCCAAAAGCUAAGUAGCAGGAGGAAAAAUUAACAUGUGGAAUGUUUCAAUAUUUUUAGCCAUAUCAUUAGAGUCAUAUUACCUAGUGCUUAAUUGGUGACUCUGUUCUCAGGAGUGGUGAAUGUAAGAUAUAAAAUUAUAAUGCUGCAAGGGACCUUUAAAAAUUUCUGAGGCCCAGUGCAGUGGCUCUCGUCUGUAAUCCCAGCACUUCAGGAGGCCAAAGCGGGAGGAUCACUUGAGCCCAAGAGUUCGAGACCAGGCUGGGCAACACAGGGAGACCCUGUCUCUAUAAAAAAUAAAUUAGCUGAGUUUUGUUGCAUGCAGCUGUAGUCCCUGCUACUUGGGAGGCUGAGGUGGGAGUAUCAGUUGAGUCCAGAAGGUCAAGGCUGCAGUGAGCUGUGAUCAUGCCACUGCACUCUAGUCUGGGUGGCAGAGUGAGACAGGGUCUCUCUGCAUCCUACACCCAGACUCACUCUGCACCCAGACUAGAGUGCAGUGGCAUGAUCACAACAACAACAAUAAAACAACAACAACAAAAAGAAAAAUUCUAGAUCAGAGUGUUCACCUCCAGAGGUAAUGAGUUGCCCAAGCCACACAGCUAAUCUGCAGAAUCAGGAUGAGACAUGCAGACUCUGUCUCCUGGUCCAGUGCCCUUUACCUCACCCUCAUUUCCUGAGUUUAUCCUGCCCCAGGGAGCCAGUCAAUUCAUUAAAAGAAUGUAGUCUGUGGGGAUAAAUCUGGUGAGGAUCAGUUUGGUCAUCUAACCCUAGAGGCAUUUGAAAGAAAGGGUGAAUGAACAGGUCAUGCGGAGUGAGAGGGUUGAGAGCAGGUGGCUGCUUCCAGGCCCCUCUCCUGCCACUCACCUAGGAGGCUGUACCAGGAGGCGGGUGGAGCUGCUCUGCCAUGGGAGGAAUUUCUACUUUAUUUACAUAGAAAACUUUAUUUGGAAACAAUUUUAAACUUGCAUAAAAAUUGAAAAAAUAAAAAUAGUACAGAAAACAUUCAAAUGUUCUUUACCCAAAUUCAUCUAUUAGCAGUAUGCCCCAUGAAUUUUAUCAUUUGCAUGCUCGCUCUCUCUCUCUCUUAAAUUGUGGUAAAAUACGGUUACCAUCUGAACUACUUUUAAGGGUACUGUUCAGUAGUAUGAAGUACAUUCACAUUGUUGUGCCACCAUUGUCUAUCCACAGAACUCUUUGCAUCUUGCAAAAUUGAAACUCCAUAGCCUUAAACCAUACACACACACAAACACACACACACACAUCUUUUUCGAACCAUUGAUAGUUAAUUACCUGAUGAUUUCCCCCUAGAUACUUCAGUGUAUAUUUUCUAUUUUAUUUUAUUUUAUAUUUUUUCAGACAAGGUCUUGCUCUGUUGCCCAGCCUGGAGUGCAGUGGUAUGACCAUAGCUCACUGCAGCCUCAAACUCCUGGGCUUAUGUGAUCCUCCAGCCUCAGCUUUGCCUAAGCUGAUCUUAAACUCCUGGCCUCAAGUGAUCCUCCCACCUUGGCCUCAUGAAGUGCUGGGAUUACAGGGGUGAGUCACCACUCCUGGCCUUCAGUGUAUAUUUUAUAGGAAUAGAGAUAUUAUCUUACUUAACCCCAGCACAGUGAUCAAGUUCAGUGAAUUUACAAUGAUGUAGUAGUUUUGUAUAAUCUACUGUUCAUAUUUCAGUUUUGUCAGUUGACCUAACAGCUCUUUCUAGCAUUUUUACCCCUCCAGUGUGUAAUUAAGCCUGGAAACAAAUAAUGCAUUUAGUUGUCACGUUUGUUUAGCUCCUUUAAUCUGGAUUAUUUCCAUAGCUUUUCUUUGUCUUAUGAUUUUGACAGUUUUCAAGAUUAUACUUCCCCCUUUAACUAAGCAGAAUAUUCAUCACUUGGGUUUUUCUGCUGUUUUCUUGUGGUUGCAGUCAGAUUACACAUUCUUGAUAAGAACAGUACAUGUGUGACAUGCUCAUCUCAAGGCUUCACAUCUGCAGGCACGUGAUGCCCAUCUGUUUCUUGUUAGUGAUGUUACAUGAGGCCACCAGAUCAAAGGGUUGUCUUAUUUCUCCACUGUAUAAUUACUAUUUUAUUUUUCCCCCUUCCAACUAAGAAGUGAUAGGUGGGAAGAUAUCUUAAGAUCAUGCAAAUAUCUGAUUCCUCAUCAGAAUUUCUCUCUAGAUUUGGAAUCUAUUAAUGUUUCUUGCCUUAUCCAAUCUCACUAUGAUUGCAAAAUGAUUAUUUUUAAAUCCCUGCAUUCCCUCCACAUUUACCAGUCUGCCCUCAGGAAGAGCCCUCCCUGUCAGCAAGAGCCCUCCCUUCUUCUUAUGUCUCUCUCUCUCUCACCUAUCUAUCUAAUGUUAGUAUGAACUUAUGAGUUCUUAAUUUUUCAAUGAUUUAUAAUUAAUCAUGCUAGUGCUCAAAUUGUCAUAGGUUUGGCCAGGAGAAGUCUCUUCAAUCUGGGCACCUGUGUCUUUGUGACUCGCUCCUUUUUUUUUUUUUUUUUUUUUUUUUGAGUACUUUCUCACUUUCUGACUUAAGCUGUUUUAGGCACAUCUUGUAUCCCUCUUGCCUCAACUCUGGAAUUGGUUACCACUACUUCUGAACUGGGUGGCAGCUACAGACAGAGGUGGUAAGGGAGUAAUUGCUUAGGAUUGGACUGAGCUGAAGAAUGUUUAGCCUGGCGGUACUAGUGCAACUGGAAGAACAGAUGAACCAUAGUUUGCAACACAAAGCCAAGUCAACCAACAGAAGAAAUAUAUAUUUUAAGAAGAUUUUAUAUUUUCAACUGAAAACGUUCAUGUCAGUUGUGAAUGUAUUUGUAAUUGGCAGCCCCAAAUCAUCUCCCUUUUUAUUUUUGAGAAAGUGUAGUGUGCUUUAGUAUUUGGAACAUUCAUUUAAACCUAUUAAAUUAUAUUUUAAAAUGCACUGUUCCCAUUUCAAUCAAAAUUGGUUUUAUACUAUAUAUUGUAACACUAAAGUGCUUCUGGUAAUUUGCUUGUAAAACCAAAACUCUUUUAAAUUUAUCCACUUGUCCCUUUCAGAAAUGACGUGUUUGUGCAUAGGACUUGUUAGUAUUCUGAUUCAAACAAAACUACAGUACAUGUAAAAACAUAUUUAUAGAACAUAAAUAAGAAAAUGUGAACCCUGAAGAAUAUUUGAUGGAACUAAUGGACUAUUCUAAUUUUUAUGUGUGAAAAUGAUAAUGUGAUUUUUUAAAAGAGUCCUUCUUUUUUAGACAUGCACACUGAAAUAAUUAUAGAUGAAAUUAUGCAAUGUCUGUGAUUUGUUUCAAAAUAGUCUGGUGCUUAGGGAGAGAGAAGUGGGUGGGGAGAGAGAUGAAAUAAGCUUAGUUAUGAGUUGGUAAUUGUUGAAGCUGGGUCCUAUAUAUAUAUGGGGGUAAGGUCAUAUUCUAUUCUACUUUUGCAUAGAUUUGAAAUUUUUCAUAAUAAAAAGUUAAAAACAAAUCACACACCAAAAAAACUCCCAAACCCAACUGUCAUUAUUUAAUAACUUUGAACUUGGUAUGGACCUAAGAAGGCAUCUUUUACAAGGGAAAUGUGCAGUUCCAAGUCUUUUUCUUGAUGAUUGGGUCUGAAUGUGUUAAUCAAUGCUGCCCUGUCAUAGCCCCGACAUAGGGAAAAUGCUGAAAUGUGAUUUUUAAAUCAUAAAAAUGUGCCCAUAGUAAUAGCUCCAUCUUUUGCACAAUAUUUAAAUCAAUUCAUUGAUUUCCAGUUGCCUGAUAUUCUUAUUUCAGUAACAAAAUAAACGAUACAUAGUUCAGUAAAGUUGAAUCCAUUUGGGUUCAUUUGUGCUCGAAGUCUGAAGCCAAGUAAGAUCUGCUUCUUAGCUGCAUGUCAGGGGAUAAGGCAUCAGUCUCUUUGUAAGGCUUGGUUUCCUUUUUUUUCUUUUAUCGUACAGUUUCUAACCACGUUCAUGAAUAGAUAAAUUAAGGACAAAAUACAUCUAUAUCCCUCCUUGGCUCUUUGUUUAUUUGCAUAUACAGAAUUACUAAUAUAGUCCAUGUCUGUAAAUGUCUUAAAAAUGUCUCCAUUAAAAAAAUCCAGAAAAAUGAUACUUUUUGACUUCACAUUCCCCUUUUCCCUCUUUAUUUUUCUGUUUUUUUUUUUUUUUUUUUUAACGGCAAAACUCCUCAAAAGGGUUGUCUAUACUGGCUGUCUCCAGUUCCUUUCCUCAUAUUGUUUCUUGAAUUCUUUCCCAUAUUCUUUCUUUGACUUCAUGAGGGCUUUUGCCACCACCACCACCACCCUGUUCUUGUCAAGGUUGUUAAUGAUGUUCUUUUUGCAAAAUCUGAGUGUCAAUUCAUCCAUCUGACAUGACCGACCCGCAGCAUUUGACAUGGCUGAUCACCCCAUGCUUUCUGAUACACUUUUUCACUUUACUCUCAGAUAAUGGUAUUCUCCUGGUUUUUCUUCUCCUUCACUGGAAACUCUUUCUAGUGUUUUUUGCUGAUUCUUCCUUAUAUUCUUGAUUUAAGGCUCAGGUUCCAGUCUUUGAAAUCCUUCUUUUCCCUAUCUAUGCUUAGUAUCUUGCUAAUACCAUUUAAUCUCAACCCAGCUCUAAAUAUUAUACAAAAGCAGAUGUUCUCAAAUUUAUACCCAGCCCAGACCCCUUCCUGUGAAUUUCAGGCUCUUAUAUGAAACGACCCCCGUGGCCUUUUGGAUGUCAAAAAGGCAUCUCAAAAUUAACAUGUCUAAAAUUGAAUUAUUAGUCUUUCUAACCACCCCAAACCCUGUUGGCCUCCCUGCAGUCCACCUCAUCUAAGUGAAUGGCUGCUGCACAAUUCCUGUUGUUCAGGCCAAAUCCUUAAAGUCAUCCUCCCUCCUUUUUAUAACCCACAUUCGACCUUUGCACAAAUCCUGUUGUUUUUACCAUAAAAAUAUAUCUAGACUCUAUCUCUCACUGUCUCCAUUGUGAUCACCCUGCUUUCUCUACUGUAUUGUUUCAAAAGCCUCCCAGUUGGUCUUUCUAUCUUUCUUUUCUUUCUUUCUUUCUUUUUUUUUUUCUGAGACAGAGUUUUGCUCUUGUCGCCCAGGCUGGAAUGCAAUGGUGUGAUCUUAGCCCACUGCAACCUCUGCCUCCCAGGUUCAAGUGAGUCUCUUGCCUCAGCCUCCUGAAGUAGCCAGGAUUACAGUCAUCCGCCACCAUGCCCAGCUAAUCUUUUUUCUGUAUGUUUAGUUAAGACGGGGUUUCACCAUGUUGGCCAGACUAGUCUUGAAUUCCUGAUCUCAGGUGAUCCACCCGCCUCGGCCUCCCAAAGUGCUGGGAUUACAGGCGUGAGCCACCAUGCCCAGCCUGGUCUUUCUUUGUCUUUGCGGCUCAGCAGUCUAUUCUCCAUACAACAGCCAAAGUGGUUCUUUUUUUUUUUUUUUUUUAAAUUAUUAUACUUUAAGUUUUAG
RNAcentral lists this long non-coding RNA (9585 nucleotides) under Homo sapiens (human). Its description in RNAcentral is "non-protein coding lnc-NKX6-1-5:3". Lineage: Eukaryota; Metazoa; Chordata; Mammalia; Primates; Hominidae. The record is from RNAcentral.